AUGCAAGGAAUCAAAUUUGAUCUUAUAGUUAUCAUUGACAAUUGGAAGGAUAUGACUUACAACUGCAAUGAGACUCUGGUAAGGUAUAUUUUAGUUAAAAGACACAGGACAGGGAAAAGAAUAUUAAGAAGAUAUAUUUUGUGUGAGGAAAUCCAGGAACCACAGAAGGGAAGAGCAUUGAAAAAGCAGAACCAGGAACCAAAAGGUAGAAAUUAUUUAAAGGCAACUUUAAAAUUAAGGAUUCCUACCAAUCUGGCUGAGGAGAAUGAAAUGAAACAGAUCAAACAAUUGGAGAACAAUGAAGUAACUGUGUGGGACAGACUCUUACAGAGAACACCAGUUUUCCAGUUUGCAAAUUUCCAGCCUUCAUGGAAAUGAGCUCAGUUUGCAUGAGGAAAGUAAAAGGGGGAAAAGAAAUACCUGUAAAUAAGAAAAAAAAUCUAUGAUUUAUGAUAUUUUUAAGAAGCUAG
Molecule: long non-coding RNA, 470 nt
Organism: Monodelphis domestica (gray short-tailed opossum)
Lineage: Eukaryota; Metazoa; Chordata; Mammalia; Didelphimorphia; Didelphidae
Source: Ensembl